RNAcentral lists this ribosomal RNA (119 nucleotides) under Medicago truncatula (barrel medic). Lineage: Eukaryota; Viridiplantae; Streptophyta; Magnoliopsida; Fabales; Fabaceae. The record is from RNAcentral.
AGGUGCGAUCAUACCAGCACUAAUGCAGCGGAUCCCAUCAGAACUCCGCAGUUAAGCGUGCUUGGGCGAGAGUAGUACUAGGAUGGGUGACCUCCUGGGAAGUCCUUGUGUUGCACCUC